CUCUCGGCCGGAGCCCCGGGACCUCUCACUUUAUCCACACACACACCCACCCUCCCCUCCCUUGGCCCCCCAGAGCUCGCUCGCUCUCCCGCCGCCGCCGCGGUAACUACUACACAUCCGCCAUCUUGUAACCCGAUUCUCUCUGCCUUUCUCUUCCUCCUCCAGCAGGCUCGCACGGGCUGUCCUAGCAGGGGCUACGGCGGCCGACGAGGCUAACGCACCGCCGCUCAGCUUCUGCUCGCGCUUCCAGGGCCAGCAGUACUCGGCGUUCUCGCGAGGCGGGGUGGGAGGGCCUGAGUGCGCGUUCUUCCUGUCUUGGCCACGCCUGCGGGCGCGGGAUCUCGGCCGAGGAAGUGGUCCUCGCGAUAUCCCCGUCCUCUGCUGGUAACGCGAGACUUUCUGAGUAGGCAGGGAGAACUGAGUGCUAGUCUCGCUUCGUCCGUUUUUCACCCGGCGGUGUGACGAGUCGUGCGACCCAUCUCCGAGGAAAAGCAAAGCAAACUUGGGAGAGUGGUGAACAGAUAAGGGACGAAAUCGUGUCAGUUUCUCAAUCUUAACUGGCUAAGGUGACUCUCCUCACUCUCCUUCAAUAAUCUCAAAGCUGAGUCCAGGAGUCCCCGAAAUUAAAGAGAAUGGAGUCAGGUGGUCAGACUCAGCUGAAGGAAGGAAGCCCGGAACAGGGACAAAUGCCAUUUGCCUCACAACACUGAUUAAAGAGUAAAGAACACAAAACAGAGGUGCAAACUCACCAGAAGUGAGAUAAUCCUUGGAUAAAGAAUUUCAUGGUAAGGAUUUGAAGCUUCUACCUGGAACUUUAUCAAGAAAAUUGGAGAGCUAAACUACUGGAGGGAGAAGCACAUCCACCUAAAUUACCUCCCACUGUUUAUCUCAGUGAUAAAUCUCUACAAUAAAUUUUGACUUGAAAAAUUUCAGCAUAUCACGAAAAUGGGAAAGACAAAUGAAGGCUAUGAGAUGAGACAAAUAUUUGGCAAAUCCUGUAAAGCACUUAGAGUAAGCUUUAUUAAGUGUGGCAGAAUCAGAUGAUCAUUACUGUAUUUAUUUUUAUCUGGGGUCAAACAUAAUUAAAAUAAAACAUUU
Long non-coding RNA from Eptesicus fuscus (big brown bat), 1098 nucleotides. RefSeq lists it as uncharacterized. The record is from RefSeq and is a predicted model, not a curated record. Lineage: Eukaryota; Metazoa; Chordata; Mammalia; Chiroptera; Vespertilionidae. The transcript is spliced from 6 exons.